AGCGAACGUUAGCGGCAGGCCUAACACAUGCAAGUCGAGCGAGAAAGGGGCUUCGGCCCUGAGUAAAGCGGCGGACGGGUGCGUAACACGUGGAUAAUCUGCCCUUCGGCGGGGGAUAACAGUCCGAAAGGAUUGCUAAUACCGCAUACGUCGACGGUGUCUCCGGAUGCUGUCGGGAAAGAGGGCGCCCGCAAGGGGCUCUCACCGGAGGAUGAGUCCGCGGCCCAUCAGCUAGUUGGCGGUGUAACGGACCACCAAGGCUUAGACGGGUAGCUGGUCUGAGAGGAUGAUCAGCCACACUGGGACUGAGACACGGCCCAGACUCCUACGGGAGGCAGCAGUGGGGAAUAUUGGGCAAUGGGCGCAAGCCUGACCCAGCCAUGCCGCGUGAGUGAUGAAGG
RNAcentral lists this ribosomal RNA (401 nucleotides) under uncultured bacterium. RNAcentral's name for it is "bacterial SSU rRNA". It matches the Rfam family "Bacterial small subunit ribosomal RNA", at positions 30 to 414 of the family's 1533-position model. The record is from RNAcentral.